RNAcentral lists this long non-coding RNA (36407 nucleotides) under Aquilegia coerulea. Its description in RNAcentral is "long non-coding RNA (ACOE_LNC001424)". The stretch from base 6946 to 7029 matches the Rfam family "Small nucleolar RNA snoR27". The record is from RNAcentral. Lineage: Eukaryota; Viridiplantae; Streptophyta; Magnoliopsida; Ranunculales; Ranunculaceae.
AGUUCAUAUAAUUAGCAAAGAACGAAAAUAGUAAGGAGUUAGAAGUCCUCUCAACGUACAAUAUGAAGUUAUGGUGUUCAUGAUAUUGAUUUUUUUUUUUUUUUUUUUUUGUAUUUGUGAUUGUCAGCUCUUUCUAAUAAAAAGGAUUAAAAUUAAAAAUGCCAAAAAAUGCACAAUCAACCAAUUAGUUAAGACUUAAGACAGUUGACACACUUUAAGAGACUAGAAUUCAUUUUUUAACCCGGUAGAUCCCCCUUGUGUUUGGUAACAUUUCUGGAGCCCCACAGAAGCAUUGUGCCAGUACUCGGAAAAUAUACUAUAUUUUGGAGGUAAAAUACAGUUUAUAGUAUCAUCCGAUAUCGAUAUAGAUAGAUGUAAAGACAAAAAUUCUACAGUAUUUAGAUAUAUAUAUAUAUAUAUACCAAAUCAAUACCACUGAGAACCGGUUAAGACGAGCAUCUUGCGACUGUUACAAUAUAGAACUAUAUAAUAGGUUUAAUUGCCUUUCAGGUAAUAAGCGGGACCAGGAAGAACGAAGAGAAAUUAAAUUACCCACAAAAGAAAUGAUGACAGAAUGCGAUUUCAGGAGAAACAAUGCACAAAAAGUUCAAUAAAAAACACAAUUUCUACGGACUAAAUGAGCAAAAACUGAAGUAAUAAGAAACAUUAAUAUACCAAGAACGUCCUGAAUCACAUCUGCGCCAAGUUGAAAUCCCUCUCCAAGCAUUUUAAACAAGAACUCCCCAAGAUCACUGUUUAUAGGGUCCUUGACUGUAGUAGAGUCCAAUAACACGCCCUCCUCUUUAACCUCAUUCAGCUGAAACUCACUCAGAUUCACUUUCAUUGGUUUGGCAGCUUGACAUGGUCCAUUUGACAAUGUUCUGGGUUUAGAAUACUCUUUUCCAAUAACGCUUGAAACAGUACCAAUUGAAACAGAAUGCUUUUUCGGUUUUAAUGUUGUAAGAUUCCUAUCUGCAAAUGUCUUGGAUAUAUUCUCUGAUAACUGUUCUGACAGAACAACAGCCCUCGGUCUAUGACUGGUUACAUGAGUAGGGGCAGCACUGGGCAAACAUUCUUUUGGUUCAGAUAAAAUCUCAGCAGCCACUUCAUAAUUGCGACCAGCCUUACAAAAAGCUGCAGCUAUCUCCCUCAGAUCAAAUGCACAACCAAAGAUAUCGAGUAACCCCUCCAAAGCUCUUGUUUCAUCAUCACGCUUUACAUUGCAUGAGCUUGAUGCCUCCAUUUCAAUUAUACUUCAAAGAAAAACAGCACAAUUUUUUAUUACAAAUCAAAAUUACAAGAACACAUAAGAUGAUGAAUGCAUUUAUUACAAAGUCAUUAGAUAAUGUACUUAUACAAAAAUAUUAACAAUAGUUUUUGAUAUUUCACUGCUUUUGUGUAUAAAUCGAGAAAAGCAUGGAAGUCAUCCAUAUAUAUAAGUGGAGACGUAUAAGGCUCUAUAGUCUAUAGCCAUUGGUAAUCUGUUUCUGAAACCGUUAUCUCUAUCACUUCCUCCUCUUUAUAAUUAUGUGCUUAUUUUGAUCCUUUUGUCCUUCUGUGUAGUGUGAAAAUUACAAGGUUGGAUCUCGUCAAUCAAGCUAAACCUUACCAAGUAAUGAAUCUAUUGGCAGCCAAAGCAAGAGAAGAUAACAAGAAAAUAACAUUGAUAGACAAAUUUACUAUGUUAACUCUUUCCUUGCAAGAACAGAUAACCCAGAAAUAGCCAAUGAGUACAACGUAUAAUAAUUAACGCUCCAUGAACUUCCUUACAUGAUAAGAUCUCCUGUAUACAAAAACAACUUUAACUCUAUUCUAUACAAACACAGUUUCUGAUGUGAACAUCAAUCAUAGAUAUGAUGAAUACUCUCUUAACCAUGAAAAUAAUUUGAAAAAAAAAAAAUCAACAAAAUCUCUCCUAAACCUUCAACAUUAAAUCUCAAACAUACAAAUAAACCAUCUCAUUCAUUCAAUAAUAAUAUCAACAUAGAUAUAUCACUAUUUAAUCUAAAUAACUGGAAAGAUAUAGAGAAUCAACUCAAUUGAAUGAUUUUUUCAACGAAACUAAGUAGAAAUCUCUACAAAUCCAACAAUGUUGAUGUUCAAUUCAAAUUCAUGGCAUUAGGUUAAGAAAGUUAGGUAAAUCGAUGAACAUUUUGAUCAAAAUUAGGUCAAUCUACGAAUUACUGAAACAACUUCUUCAAUUCAAAUCGAAAUAAAAUCGAGAGAAAGGAUAAUGCUUACUCGAAGUAGGUUUUAGUCUCUAGAGCGCCAGAUUGAAAGAAAACAAUCGAGACGAAGAAACAAUUCUCUCUCUCUCUCUCUUGCUUCUUCUCGAAGAAACUAAUAGUAGACUAGAGAGAGUGAAAUGCGAAAUGAAUGAUGAAAAGUUGUUCUGGAAUUUAUAAAGUUGCUUUUUAGAGAGCGAGGCGAUAAUCGCCACUUAUAGCAUAGCAAAUUGACGAAGUACGUCUUCCUUAGAUCUGAACCGUAGCAAAAAUGUCGAGAUCAAUAUCAUAAUGAUUUGAGGACGACAAUAAAUUUUAUUUGGCGCUCUUUCACCAAUUUCUCUCUAUAAUUAAAAUCCAAAUUAAGUGCACGCUAUUCGUGUUUCAUUUUGUUGGUCCACGGUAGUUUAGUUUACUUAUGUAUUAACCUGAUUCCAGAUUAAUGUCAUUAAGUCGUUGUGUACUCAAGAUGGAAAAUUUGAGAUCGAGGGAUGGCUGCAUCUCGUGAGGUCGAGAUUGUUUAUGUACUCUAUCUCGAGGGAGUGGAACUUCGAGAUCAAGCCAUCUUAGUUAUGUUUUUUUAUAGAAAAUAAAAAGGUGUAAAUCAUGGGAUCAAUUCUCCGACAUCUAUUAAUUACAUGAUAUUCAGUAAUUAAUGUGUAACGAAAGAGGAUAUUUAUUGAGCAUUGAUUUAGCGCACAUGUUUGUAUCGAGGUCGUCAAUGAUCAUAUGCUUGAGUUGCUUUAGUCGGAUUAUAAGAGGUCGUGGCAUGGGCAAUCUGAUUAAUAGAAGUAGUAUACCAUGUGUCGUAGUUGUAAUUGGAUCUGGUGAAGCCAAGCGCAUGACAUGUUUGAUUUUAAAUACUUUGUGUCUUUAUUUCCAUGGUGUUAUUAUUGAAAAUAUAUCUUCUAUAUAAUAUUAUAAGGCGGUCUUAUAAACACAGCCGUUAGAUGUCUAUGGAGACAACCAUAACUAUUGGAUGUACAUUAAAUUAUAUAAUCGAUGUAAUAAGUUGAAAUAAUAGCCCUUAGAUGUUCAAAAUUCGAUCUUAACAAUUAGUUGACUAUUGAGACAAUCGUAGUCAUAGGAUUAAGAGUUUUAAUUGCUAACACAUUAAAUUUCAAAAAUAUAACCUAUGGAUUAAUUAAUAAUACUAAAUAACCAAUAUUUAUAAGACAUGGAGAACUAAAACCAUUGUAAUAAAUUCAUUUUUGAAAUAAUAAUGAAAAUAUUGAAACCAAUGAAUCUUUGGAUUAAUUAAGGCUCCAGAUUUUGCCAAUGAAUAAUUCUUGGUAUUACAUAAUUGCCCUCAAUUAGUUUAAUUUAAAAUUUGACUAUUUAGUAUUCACCAAAUCUUGGAGAAAUCUAUUAAUGUUUUACCCAUAUAAGGAUCAUACAAAAAUUUUAUAAUUAAAUUUUUUAUUUUAAAUCUCUAAUUUUGGAUUUAUAUUUAUUUAAAAUACUUAAAAAAAUAGUUUUUAUAUAAAAGUUUAAUAAAUAGAAAAUGAAAAAAGAUUCACUUUCAUUAUUGAUUGGUUUAAUCAAAAUUUUGAUAUGUAAUUGGGAAGAGAAGAAUCAAACAAUUUUAGUGAAUCGAGAGAUUUGAUUUAACAGAUAUUUUGAUUUUUAAGAAUCUAAAUUCUAAAAAAUUAAAAGUGGUUUUUGAACAACAAUUGUCAUAUUUAUGGUAAAACAAUUGAGGGCAAUUGUGUCAUAUCAAAAAAUUAUUUGUAAUUAAAUUUUUUAUUUGAAAUCUCCAAUUUUGGAUUUAUAUUUAUUUAAAAUACUUAAAAAUAGUUUUUGAUGUAAAAGUUUAAUAAAUAAAAAAUAAAAAAAAAUUCACUUUCACUUUCACUUUCAUUAUUCACGUGCUAUUGUUAUUUCUGAUCAAAGUAAAAGAUAUAUCAACUACAAUAAACACAAAAGUAUAUUAGUUGGGUGCAACAAAUAAAAAAUAUUAAGUCAAAAUUUAAAAUAAAUAUUUAAUAAAAAUAUAGAAAAAAAUAUAACUGGUUUACAACUGGUCUGAAGGUAAACGCGCAGUUUGUAGCGCGUUUGUCCUCUACUUUUGUGUAAUUCGUUGAGCUUAUCAAUAAAAUUUAUUUAAAAAAAAAAAAAAAAAAAAAAACUGACCUUGAUAAUGGUGAAUAAAAAACUCAAAAAAAAAUAAAUUAAAAUAAUAAUAAUUAAAGUAAUCGUGCCGUAGGCACAAGUUAUAACUAGUAUCACAAUAUCACACAUCUUUUUUUUUUUGGCUAAACUAUCGAGUUAUGCAACAAAGUAUGGUCGAAUUCCCAACUUAUGCAACCAACUAAAUUAGGUUUAAAAUCAUCAAAACAUUGCCAACGUUGGUGUUGACGGACUCAGUGCUCUAUACUGAGUCACACCGAUUUCACCCCAAAAUCUACUCCUUUUUUCUUCAAUUUCUCACUCUUUCUUUCUAAAUCAAUCCAAAUCACUUCAAGACUGUGAUUUCGAGUUGUUAUGAUUUAAUUGGUUGAGAUGUUGGUUUGAAAGAUGGAUUGUGGGUGACUUUACUCAUCAUCCUUCUCUUUCACUCUUCUCUACAAUUACACAUCAAGGUCGCGAUACAUCGUUUUGGUGGUUUUGUUUUUGAGGGUUAGAGAGAAAUUUGUUGGUGAAAUUGCAGGAAUGGGGUAGACAAAGGCUGUUUGUGGUGUUGUUAGGGUUUUAAGUCCUCUAUCUCUUCUUGUGAUUUUUUCUCUUGAUGAUGGAUUGAUCUUGUGUGGAGUUCAUUUUUUUCUUGUGUCAAAUCAUAAAGAUUGUUGGUUUCUUUUGGUCUUAUUACUGAUCUCUUAAGAAGUUCUUUUUUAAUUUGUCUCUACUGUUGAUUCUUCAGGUAUUUUCUUGCUUCUAUUUUGGUACAAGUUUCUCAUUCUAGAUUUCUCCACCUUUUUUUUCUAUCCAUCUCUUUGUGUGUUUUUUUUCCUUUCUUAGUUUGUUGUUGUUUUUGUAUACCCUUUCCCCUGGUACUUGCCAAGUACCAGGGGAAAGGAUGAAUCUUGCUAUAAAUCUGUCUGAUUCUUUCAUCCAAAUCCAAUGUCUGUCUCAGUUGGUUUUGAACUAUAUGGUGAAGUGGUGUUCCUUCUGGGUGUACUCUUUCUUUUGGCUGCAACACUGGUUGGGCAUGAUUUCUCUUCUCAGGUUAGCCGAUGGAUUAAACACACCAAACUUUUGUUGUUUGGAACGUGUAGGGUUUGCCCUUUUUGGACGCCUUAUGGUAGCGUCUGGCGGCGGGGUAGAUGUUUUGCAUUUACUCUUACCCACCCCUAGGAUCUUUCCUGUUUGGAUCCUCUCUUGUUUCUCAGGUCUUCUUCUGGUUCUUUGGAGUUCUUUGGGAAAGGCGUGUCCUGCCAUGUGGUGGUUCGACUGGAAGUUUAUGCUUGUGAUUGAAUUUUACUUUCACUAUUAUGGUUUGAAGCCAAUUUUCGAUCGACUUGGGACUUUGCAGGAAUCUAAGAUUUAUAAAAGAUUUGGUUUGUAUAUUUGUGUAAAUGGUGGUGUUUCGGUUAUGUUUGCGCCGAUCAGCAGGUCUUGUAUAAAUGCUUGUGUUUUCAAUAAAUAAAAGUUAAUUUGCUAACAAAAAAAAACUUUCAAGUUUUCUCAAUUUAUGCAACGUCGUCAAAUGAAAUCUAACGGAUGUUAAUUUUUUGCUGACCGGAUAAUUUUUAAUAUUAAAAAAUAUCUUCCCCCCAAAAUAUAAAUAAAUAAAUAAAAUAAAAUUGGCUCUAUCUCAAAAGAAGAUAAGUCUUGGGUUUUCAAACCCCCAUUUUCAAUUUUCUACUUCUCACUCUCUUGGAUUCAUCAAAUCGAACUUAAAAUCUUAGUUUAUUAGUUUAUGGUUGUUUUGAGGUUUAAAAUAAGCUCUUGUUUAAUUUUGGGUUUAAAAUCUUUUUUUUUUUUGCUUACUUUACACAGUAAGCAAUAAAUUAUCUCACUACAAUUAGCAAUAAAUUAUUAGACAAUCAACAAUAAAAAAAAAAUACAGUCAACAAAACCUAACGUUUGAUUAAGGGAUUGUUAACGACAUUGCAUAAAUUACAAAAACUUAAAAGUUUAUUGAUGAUUUUAAAUAUAAUUUAUUUGAUUGUAUAAGUUGAAAAUUCGACCCUAUUUUGUUGCAUAACUCCAUAGUUUAGCCUUUUGGUAAAAGCAAUAUCACACUGUGGUUGUCCGUGGUGGCCUGCAGCAAAAUGCCUCUGGAAAAUUCCAAACUCACGAGAAAAAAAGUUGUACUAGUUAUAUUUUGGUUUUUAUAUUAUUGAUUGACUGAUUGGGUUUGGGGCUUUGCCGCUGUGGGCAUAUUGAAACUUCAUCCAUGACCAUUGAUCCAUUGUGACAGCUGCACAGGAGCACAGUAUGUUAGUGUAGCUAUUCAUUUGUGUUUGGGCCUAAAACGUUGGACCCUUUUUCAUAGUCCAUUCUAGAAAGUUUGACAAGAUAAACCGCACCCGCACCCACACCCACCGUUUCCGGUUUACAAAUCGUUCCAAUUGGGUAACCAACCACUGACGCCCGUUAUAUUUCUCCCCUUUGUGUCUAUAUAAACAGAGAGGAGCAAAAACCCUAAAUAAGAAUAGCUCAGAUGAGCUCCAUGGUAUUAGUGCCGCCAGGCGCUAGAUGAAAACUUUAUCUCUACAUGUUUUGUAUUGUAUUGUAUUGGCUUGUAUAGUUGUUUCUUCAUCUGUUCUUUUUCUGUUUUGGAUCGAUGAUGUUGCAUAAAUUACUGCGUUAUCUUUCUGAUAAUCCUUUGAGGAAAGCUUUAAGUACGCUGAGAUCCAAAACGAUUCAUUUCUAUUUGUUUUCGUUUUUUUUUUUAUUGCUUGAUUGAUUUAUCAUUUUCCUCAACAUCAACAAAUUUCAAUUUCAAUACUUAAUCGUUGAGUGAUCCAAUUCCCAGAUUUAAAUCACAUUCAUUUAUUAGAGUCUGUUAGAUACUUAGAUUGGUUGCGGGAAUUCUUUAUAUAGGGGUUUGCCAUAAAAUUUACUAAAAUUUGGAGAUAAAAAGUUAGAUGAGGAUAGAUAAUAGAUGCCACCUAUUUGAUUUCUAAAUGCAAUUCUAAAUUUUAUGUUAGCAUGCCUGAGAUCUGUUUCCAACGAAGUAGAUACCAAGUUAUGACAUUGGUCUGCAUCUAGAUACCAAGUUAUGUUAUUGGUCUGCAUCUCACUAUAGCUCAGAGGUCUCUAGUUCCCAAAUAGCAAUGUUGAAUACAUUCUAGUUGUAGACCAGUUAGUAAACAAGUCCUCUUCUAGUAGGCAUAUUCUAUGCCAUUGCCAUGGUUUCUUUACUGACUUCCAAUGCUAUGGCCUGGACCUUUUUGCAAGGAUUAACACACUUUGUGUGGAUAGGAUUUUAACUGUUUCACACUGUCAGGCUUUCUAUGUAUUGUGCUGAGUUGAGUACAGUUCCACCACAAAUUAUAAUCGAAGUACCAUGAUGCAAAAUUUGUGUGAAAGGGCGAAGAUCACAGUAGCUUGCACCCCUCAGAUAUGGAACUUUAAAGAAUGUCUUGCAAUCCCUAAAUUUUCUUGCAAGAAAAUAAUUAUUGUUAAUGCACUUAGCCACCAACUAGUAUUAUCCAUUUACAUUGUUCUAGAUAUCUGGUUAGGGGUCUUAUUUGAGAGAAAUAGAAAAAAUUGCCCGCUUGGAUACUCAAAAUGAUAGUAUUAAGUAUUAACAACCACAACUAUUGUUUUGCAGAUACAUUUCAACAAACAAAUGAACAUCAAACAUGUGAAUCAGUACAAUUUUCAAAUUCAAAAGUCUAUGAUCAACAACUAAUCAGAUCAACAACUAAUCACUUCGACAAAGAUUCUCUACAUUACCUAAACAAUUGUUGGCUUUGUUAUACAGUUGAAUUUGCACAUUUUGCUGAGAACAAUGCGCCCUCUUCAACUAUCUACAACAUGUAUUUGAGAGUUACUGUUUCACUUUUGAGUAUUCUGUUCUCUGGCUCGGUAGAAAUGAAUCAACUUCAAACCUGCAACUGUUUCCUGCGGACAAUCAAAGGAAAUAUUUCAUACUUGAACAAAUAGGGCAAAAUAAGCUACAAUACUCUCAUACCCCUAACAAAACAAACCUGCACUCUUCCUUCAGACUGAUUAGGAAAUUUAAGGCCUACUGAACUUUUUUGUAAGAUUUCAGGACUUUUCAUCCAUUGUCGUUGCCCAUCUUUUAGUUUUAGCUUUUGAUUGAACAUCUGAAACACAAAUUAACAUACAAAAAUCAAGGAGGAUGUCAUAGGAAUUGGAUUGGAUAGUGUAAAUCAAGGAGGAUGUCAUAGGAAUUGGAUUGGGUAGUGUAAUAUAUGAACCUGAGAAAGACCGAUAGAUGGUUUCUCCAGCUGAUCUUUUUCAACAUGAAUGCCAGCUCCUUGACAUUCUGGACAGAAAACAGAAGAGAUGCUUUUCGGUUCAUGUCUCAUAAUAUCAUCUUUUUGCUUUGCAUUUCGCCUGGUACGAGUCUUGCUCCUUGUUUGAGGAGGAAUUUCUUCAGCAGGCAACUUAUUUGUCCAUUUCUCAAACUCACAUAGAAGCAUCCAGUGUAGCAGGCAGGAGGAGUGGAAUAAAUGAAAUGCCUAGUAUAAGAUAGAAGAUGUAAAAGAGUUAAGAUUUACAAUACCAUAGUAAACAAAGUGAAUUAUCUAAAAAGUUAGUGGAAUAAUACCCCAGAUGAGUUCCUACUGCUACAAGCAAGUCGGCCAGUCUUCAUAUUCAAUAGACAUGCAACAUCCUUUCCUGGAAGAAGUUUAACGUAACAGAUAUCACACGUUCUUUCAGCUGCAAGACGUUCUCUCUCCCUCAUUUCUUUUCUAAUGCGUCUCCGCGUGGACCUUGAGGCUGAUACCAAUUCUGAAGAGGUACCAUCCAGAAGCUGAUAAUCUUCCAAUGAACCAUCUCGUUCACUCAUAGAUGCACUAAUAUCCUCAGGAUCAGAGUAUGCUUUUCUCAUUCUCUUGUUCUUGCCUACUAUAUUCACAUCACCCAAGUAUUUACUAGAAGCAGACAAUCUUUCAAAAUCACCCAAGACAGGUUCUCGUCCCAAAUCAUAAUGAUAAGAAAAUAUCACAACACCAAAAUCAUGCUUUGGUAAUGGAAAUGCAACAUCCUCAUCAUUUUCAUAAUCAUUUUUCCCCAACCAAGCACACCAUAUUCGACUAAUGUCCUCAGGAUCUUUUUCAAGAAGUCUUGCACCGAUUUCACCAAACCCAAUUAGCUUCACAUUUACACUAGACUUUUGAUCAUUACAUAAAACGCCAGGAAUUACUAAAUCACAAUCCCCAACACCAGAAUUCACAUUACUAUCGACAACAGUAGACAUGGUAUUGUUAGAAAUCAAGAAGCUAUCUUUGUAAGAACUUGAAUGACUUUCUUGUUCAUGAAAGAAAAAGGCUCCAUCAUUAAAAGGCCAUGGAUUUGGAAGCAAAAGAGUAAGUUUGGCAGUUGCAAACCUAUCUCUGUGAAUAUGUCCUCUGAGAUGAUCAAACAAGGCUGUAUCACUGUAACAUGGAGAAUGACAAAGAACACAAAAGAAGAUAUAUCGCUUCCCAUCUUGCCUUAUCUCCACACAUACAUGCCCAUCUUUGUGAACUUGGCUAAGUGUUAACUUGGCCGCCUUUUCUCUAAGACUAGCAGCAGUAAUAUUUGAAAAAUCUUUUCUUCCCGCCAUUGAAAUCUUUCAAAAUUUGUUCUUCAAACAACUACAGAUCUAGUAAUUCUACUUGCAACCCCCUAAUAAAACUCAAAAUCCUCUAAAACAAAUCUCAGAAAACCCUAAAUCUCUACUCGACUAAAUUCUUCACAGAAAUCAACAAAUCGUACUUCAAAACACUUCAAAUUACUCAAGAAUCUUGAAUUUCAUAGAAAUUUCUUAACUGUUGAUAUUAGAAAAUCAACGAAACCCUAGAAAAUCUUUGAAAUCCAAGAAAGAAAGAAAGAAAAGAGAAAUUGUUUCGAGAAAUUAUUCAGUAAACACGAGGUAAAGAAGAAACACGAGGUAUACUUAUAGAAGUACCUUUAAAAGAUCCACGAAUUCUUCGUUCUUUUCCUGUAAUUAGUUCAUUAACACCAGAAAAAACAAUUGAAGAUCGAGAAUCUGCCAUAACCAUUUCCAUUAGUAAUAAAGAAAGAAAAAAGAGAUUUCGAGUUUAGAAGUUUCGAGAAGAGAGAGAGAGAGAGAAAGCAAGAAGAAGAUGGAAAGAGGUUGAAGAGAAGAAGAAAAAGAAGAACAGAGAAAGCAGAACAAAUGGUGAAGAAGGAGAAGAAAGAGAAAGAAAAUGUAAUGAGACAAACUUGUGUGAAAUGACUUUUUAAGUAAGAGCGAGAUUUGUGUGUAAUAUACAGGAGUUUGAUAUAAUGGAGACAGAUGUAACUUUAUUUGGUAGAGUGAUGGUUGAUUUGUUUAAAUCAUUUAAUGUAUAGGAAUAUAAACGGGUGUGGAUUCUGUAGUAAUUUAUUGAAGUGGAUAACAGAUGUAUGUUGUAAACGGAGAUGGAUAGAAUAUUCCGUAUCUCGAUGCUAUGAUUGAGUGGAUAAAGAUAAAGUAUUAGCUUUUGGUUUGUUGACGUAAUGACGUGUUAAUUUGGGCUGUUAUUAGGUAGCUGACAGUUAUAGAGACGGCAUUUGGAAGCAACUUACUGUACUUGUUUUUAAUUUCAGAGGUUGGGGAUUGACUGGACUCUUGUUAACUAUCAUUGAUGGUGUUUUCUCUAAGAUAGUGUUUGAUAACCGCGUUUUCCUAUGGUAAAUUGGGGUUUGCCUGUUAUUUUUGGUGUUUGUCAUCGUUUGAUAAUUUACUUGGGUGAUCAGGCAUUAUUUGCCCCAAUAUACCCGCACGUGAUCACAAAUUUACCCAAAUUUUCAGUUGAGUCCCCAAAGUUUACCUAACUUUGGUCCCCUAACUUUACCCAAAUUUUCAGUUGAGUCCCCAAAGUUUAAAUUGGUCAAUUUGGUCCCAAAUCUUUCAAAACGCAAAAUGGUCUCAUCGUUACCAAACAUUUAACAAUUCUUUUUUUUACAAAAUAGGUUCUAUUUUUACACAGUUUGGGUUUGUUUUCUAUUUUUAAAUAAUAUGAUGUUGCGCGUGCCACUCACGUGCUCUGCUGAUCUGGCAAAAAAAUAUAUUAAAGUUUGAAUUUAAAAGACCACGUGUGAUAGUAAACUGUCACUAGGCAACUUUGUUAGUGCUUGGUAACAGUGAGAUCAUUUUGCAAACGUUUUGAAAGAUUUGGGACCAAAUUGAGCAGUUUAAACUUUGAGGACUCAACUGAAAAUUUGAGCAAAGUUAGGGGACCAAAUAGCUAAUUGUUCCGCUUCAAGGCGGACAAAGUUUGCUUAACUCAACCCCAGGCAAAAUUUGUUUUGCCACUUAAACUGGUAAAAUUUGCCAGGUAUAAAUAGUAUUUUUGCAGAGAAAAAAUCCUAUUCUUCUAAACAAGAACUCAAACUCUUUCAUUGCAGCGCAUCAAAGGCGAUUGUGAAGGCGAAGGCGAUUGUGAAGGCGAUUCACUUCAAAAAGGUCAGAUUUCUUCUUCUUCUUCUUCAUUUCACUUCUUCAUUUUCUUUUAUACUUUUUUUGCAUAGAAAAAACCCUAUUUCACUUCUUCUUCGUCUCUGUUCAGUUGCUACAUUCUUGUUGUUGUUUAUUUCACUUUGUGGUCUUUGUUUAGUUGUCUCACUAUAUGUGUUGCUGUUGUUUUCGUUUUUUUAGAAGUUGAUUAUGUUUAGGGUUUUUCAAAUAUACAAUAAUUUCGGUGUAAUUUAAACAUAAAUUCACUUCAAUUGCAUUGAAUUGUAAUUUUUAGGUGCUGAACUGUUGAAAUUUUAAUUUUUUUUUUUCAAACCCUAACCUUAGAUUUUUAGGGUUUUUUGAAUAUACAAUAAUUUCGGUGUAAUUUCAACAUAAAUUCACUUCAAUUACAUCGAAUUGUAAUUUUUAGGUGUUGAACUGUUGAAAUUAAUUUUUUUUUCAAACCCUAACCCUUGAUUUUAGGGUUUUGUGAAUAUACAAUAAUUUUGGUGUAAUUUCAACAUAAAUUCACUUCAAUUGCAUUGAAUUGAAAUUUUUAGGUGCUGAAUUGUUAAAAUUUAAUUUUUUUUUUCAAACCCUAACCCUAGAUUUUAGGGUUUUUUUUUAUACAACAUUGUUUCAAUGUAAUUUGAACACAAAGUCACUUCAAUUGCAUGUAAUCGUAAUUUUAAAAGUGCUGAAUUGUUAAAAUUAAAUUUUUUUUUCAAACCCCAACCCUAGAUUUUUAGGGUUUUUUGAUACAACAUUGUUUCAAUGUAAUUUGAACACAAAGUCACUUCAAUUGCACGUAAUUGUAAUUUUAAAAGUGCCGAAUUGUUUAAAUUUUAAUUUUUUUUUUCAAACCCUAACCCUAAAUUUUAGGGGUUUUCUGAUACAACAUUGUUUGAAUGUAAUUUCAACACAAAUUCUCUUCAAUUGCAUGUGAUUGUAAUUCUUAACGGUGCUGAAUUGUUAAAAUUUUAAUUUUUUUUUCCAAACCUUAACCCUAGAUUUUUUUAGGGUUUUUGUUAUAUAACAUUAUUUCAAUGUAAUUUCAACAUAAAUUCACUGAAAUGAUGCAUGGAAUUGUAACUUUUUUACUGAACUGUUUAAAAAUUUCUACUGAUCAGAAAUAUUGCAUUUCAAAUUGAUAUGUUAUUGGAUCUGUUUGAAAAAUUAUAUUUGGGGGGUUUUAAUUAUAAUGCAAUAUAUUAGUAAUGUAUUUUAAAAAAAUGAGUAUAAUAUUGCAAACUUAAAAUUUAAUACUUUUUUGAAACCCUAUUGAAUACAUUACUUGGAUUCCAUUACUGUAAUGAUUUGUUGAUACUUGUUUUUAUUUUGCAGACGAGUUUCGUUUGUGUCAGGUUGGUUCUAUUUGUUUGACACUAUUUGUAUUUAUUUUUUGGAUGUUGUUUUUCAAAUUAUAUUUGUUGUACAACAACGAUUGAUAUAUCGUUUUUAUUUUUUGUAGACUUUCAUUUUCAUCUACCUCACUCUCAAUACCAGGUAUGACUUUAUUUUUAAAAUGUUUUGAAUAUGGUUCUAAACAAUGUAUUUAUUAGUAAUGUAUAUAGUUUUUGCCAGCUUUGCUCUCUCAUCCUGUUAGUCUCUUACUUUAUCUCGUCGUUCGUUGGCUCGCGUACUGUCUAGCUUAGCUGCUCAAGGUUAGUUGUUUUUCCGUUCUCAUAUAUUUAUUAUGCUGACAUAUUGUCACAAUUUUUUGUUGUUACUUUGUUAUAUUGUAAUUGUUUUAGCAUAUAAAUGCUAAUUAUAUAUUGCUGCGUUGUUUUUAGUAUCAAUUCUUUAGACUAAUAUAUUGCUACCAUGGUUAUUUUUUUUUUUAGAAUCACACUAUUUAGAACGGUUUAGAAUCACACUAUUUAUAACUGCUUAGAAUCACACUAUUUAUAACUGUUUAGAAUCACACUAUUUAUAACUGUUUAGAAUCACACUAUUUAUUAGAACUAUUCACAAUCACACGGUAUAUGUGAUUGUGACAACUAUACCUAAAAAUAAACCUCCUAUAUUCUAAUUAAAAAACAAAAUGAAAUAUGAAUUCAUAAAUUGAAAUCUGAUAACUCAUCCUGUUAAAAACUUUUUAAUUAAUAAUUUUCAGAUAAUGGGUAAGUAUUCUUAUUACGUUGUGCGCCGUGGGUUUUGUCCGGGUAUCUACACUACUUGGGAAGAGUGCAAGACACAAACAGACGGAUUUAGAAACGUUGAUUGGCGUGGUGCUUAUACUGUUUCUGAAGCAAGACAUUUGCUUCAACAACAACAUACAAAUGGAUUCUGUCAAUCAUCUCAUCCUAUGUGUGAUCCCCAACAUCUUUUGUCCCAACCUUUUAUUCAUGCGCCACAACUGUCCGAGCAAUCUGGUCAAUCUUACCAAUCUGUCGCUCAAUCUCAGGCACCUGUACUUCCACUAGUCGGUGGUCGACCCUUAAACAUUGGUGGAACAAACAAUGUUGUGGUGGUGGACGACUUUUGGUGGUUUGUCAAGAAGUUGGUGUUGGUGAUGCUAGUUGUUGUAAUUGCACUGUUGAUUAAGUUGUUAUUCGUACUGUGAGUUUCUAUGUAAUGAAUUUGUUAAAUUUGAUGAUGUAAAAAUUAUUAACCAUUUAAUUAAAAAUGCACUCUUAUUAACACCUAUGACCUUGUUAAAUUAUGAACCAGAAUGUUCUAACCAUUUAUGAAUUCAUAUAAUUGCUCCUAACCACUUUAAUGAUUAACGAUUAACCUUCUCCUAACCACUAAAUGAUUAACCUUACCGACCGCUUGUUAUGUAGAAUGUCCAGUGAGGAUCAACGUCUAGUUACAACCUAUGCUGUCAGGGGCGCCGCCUGAGCGCCGCCUAGGCGCUAUUUCUAAAGAAGGCCGCUCCGCUCAGCAAAAUUAGCGCCUAAAACGCCUUGGGCCGCCUGGGCGGCGCUCAGGUCCAGCGCUCUGUUAAGAGCGGCCCAUACAAAAGCGCUCAAAGCGGCCCAAAUAAAAAAAAACCCAAAACUUAAGCUAAAAAAAAAAAACCUAAAUCUUACGUUCUCUCUCUCUACCUCUGGUCUCUCUCUCACGUUCUCUCUCUACCUCUGGUUUCUGCAGCUGCUGCUACUUCUUCUCCGGCUCUGCUGCUGCUGCUAGUGUAAGUUCUAACUUCUAAAUUCUAAUCUUCUUCUAAUUUCCUAAGUUUCUUCUAAUCUUAUUCUAAUCUUCAUUCUUCCUAAAUCAAAUCCAAAUUGAUUCUUCUUCUUCUUUACAGUGUUUACUGUUCAUACUUAGUAAACAGUGUUUACAGUGUUUACUGUUCAGAAAAUUUUAAGGGAAAGAAAUACUGUUACUAAACUGUAAAGUGUCUACUGUGUGGUCUGAUCGGAGCGCCGCCGGAGCGCCGCCGGAGCGCCGCCGGAGCGGUUGAGGCGGUCCCCAGAAAUCUGAGCGUCUGGCGUUUCGCUCCGCCCUUGACAACAUAGGUUACAACUACUUUUGUAAUUGUAGUUGUGGACUGGUUAUUGCAAUAUCUUGUCUCGAACGCAAGACGUAAUCGUGUUCCUAGAGUUCCUAGGGCUCCCUAUACCUACAAUAGGGAUUCAGCGCGAGGCGCAACUUUAGCUCGUUUCUAUACUGAUAAUGACAAUGACUGCCAUGAGGCGUUUUGCAUUCCAUCGCUUAUGUGCUAGGUUGAAGACUAUAGGUUUAACCGACUCUCGGUACAUGUCGGUUGAAGAACAAGUUGCAAUGUUCUUGCUUAUAGUUGGUCACGACAAUCGGUGUAGAAGAACACAUUACGAGUUUAGGCGUUCUGGUCAAACUGUGAGUCAUUACUUCCACUUGGUCUUAAAUGCUUGCAUAGAGUUGUACAGGCAAGUGGUUGUCAAUGCUACUGAUCAGAACUCGCCCCUCGCUAAUGGUGCUUGCAAUGUAUUUUGGCAUCAGUAUUUCAAGGUUAUAAAAAUUUUCGUGCCCAUCAAUGAUCAACCAAGGUAUCGUAACCAGAAGGGAGUGAUUUCUCAAAAUGUUCUAGUCGUGUGUACGUUCGACAUGAGAUUCACUUAUGUUCUGGCUGGAUGGGAAGGCUCGACGCAUGAUGGCCAGUUGUUGAGGUGUGCGGUUACUUGCCAAGGAAGACGGUUAACCUUGCCCAAGGGCAAGUAUUACCUUGCGGAUGCGGGCUUCGCAUUAAGUCCUGGCUUCCUCACACCUUAUCGUGGCGUCCGAUACCAUGUCAAAGAAUAAGGACAUCGCGCCGUAGAAACUGAUGAAGAGUUGUACAACUGUCGGUAUUCCAUGCUACGUAACGUUGUUGAGAGGAUCUAUGCUGUCAGGGGCAGAGCGGAGCGCCAGGCGCUCGGUUUCUGUGAAACCGCCUCGACCGCCCAGGCGGCGCCCUGAUCAGACCCCCACUUUGCUGUUUAAGUGUUUAACACAAUAACACUUAACACUUCAACAGUAACCCCCCAGUUUGAUGUCUACUGUACUGACUAAUUUUCUGGACACUUUCAACAGUUAACCUUGACAUAAUUUUCUGGACAAUCCAAAAUACAAUCCAAAAUUUAAAAAAUAACAAAUUAACACUUAACAAAAAUACAAAAUAACAAUAGGAUCCAAUCUUCCAACAUCAAAUCCAAAAUUCCAACAUCAAAUCCGAAUAUCCAACAUCAAUUCAAACAAAAACAAGUUCAACACCAAAAUAAAAAAACAAUCCAACAUAAAAUUCAAAAACAAUCCAAAAUCAAAAUAAAACAAAAGCAAAUCAAAGUUCAUAUAUCAAUGUCCUCAUCGGAGCCCGACUCAAUCCCAUCCUCAUUUCUAAUAUCAUCAACUUCGAAGUUGUUAUUAUCAUCAUAAUCAUCUUCUUCGGAAGAAGCUUCAAUAUGAGGUUGAGUACGUGAACUUGAUGCUUGUGUUGCGUUGCGGCGACCACGAAUGAUAGGAACAUCGCCAUCAUCAAGUCCAUUUCCGGCAUCCUCCAAAUCUCCAUAAGUUAAUCCAUCCAUUCCUAACACAACAUCACCCCUAGCAUCUUGGGGUACUAACCACUCAACACACUCAUCAAGAGACUUCAACUCUAUUGGAUCUAUUCCUUUUCCGGAAAUACGUUCUUCAUAACGUUUUUUUAAGCUUUCUAUUGUAUUUCACAUAAAUAAGAGCUUGUAAGCGUUCAUGUUCCAAACAAUUUCUUUUCUUUGAAUGAAUCUACAAUGCAAAAUAAGUACAACUAAAUCACUUGAAAAAAUUCAAAAAUAUACACAUAGAUAGUAGAAGAAUAAUAUAAAAAUUACAAAACAACUUACAUUAGCAAAAGUACUCCAAUUCCUUUCACAAGGAGAAGCGGAACAAGUAAGCCCAAGUAUCCUUGUAGCAAACCUUUGCAAAGAGGGGACUUCACUUCCAAAAGUGACCCACCAUUCAACUAAAUCAAAAUUCAAACAAUACGAUAAAAAUAAUAAUAAUUUAAACUAGUAAGAAAAUAAGAAUAAUAGUUAAUAAUUAAAAUAAAGUACUAACCCGGAUGCAUUGUUUUCAAACAACUCAUGACAUUCUUCUUUCCUAGCCUCGUACCUCUAGAACGGUAUACCGCAAGCUCACUUAGAAUUUUGGUUUCUUGUUCCUCAUCUUCGGCAAGUUUUUCAAUGCAUUGCAACAAUCCCUCCUUAAUCACCGAAUUAGCUUCAAUCUCAAUCGAGCUUUCAACACUAGCAUAAUAAACUUGUGGGUUAAGAUAGUGAGCCGCACAAUGCAAAGGUUUUUGAAGUAAAUCACUCCAUCUAUUAUCAACAAUUUUUUCCAUUUUCCUCCACAAAUCUCGAUCUUCCAAAGUAGUUUCUCCAAUAUUUGCCUUUAUCUUAACUUUACAUAUUUCCAUAGCUGAAUAAACAUACGCCAUAGAAGGUUUUUCUUUGAUAUCCACCAUUCAAAGAACAUCCACUAUAGGUGCCAUGAUUUUCAAGCAAGUAUGCAUGUUAUUCUAAAGAUUGCUACUCUUGAUCUUCUUCACAAUUUCUAUUACAAUCUUAUUCUUUGGCCACUUACUUCUCCUCCAAUCAUCUCUACGAAUUAUAUCUCUCAAUUGUUGGUGUUUCUCAUACAUACUUUGCAAGCAUAGAAAUGUGGUAGCAAAUCGAGUAACCGAUGGCCUAAGAAUUUCCCUCUUCUUUGUUUCCUUUCUCAUCAAAUGAAGAACAUGCUUGUGGUUGUAAAUAAAGAUGGAAAUCUUUUGUGCAUCCUUAACGGUUUCUUUCACUAAAGGUAUCUUACCAACAUCUCCAAGCAUCAAGUUAAGAAAAUGUGCCGCACAAGGCAUCCAAUAGAGUGUCACCUUGCUUAAGUCGGAAUAAUGCGGUUACUUCGAUUUUUUGCCGCUUGUUAUGGAUAUAUUGAGUGACAAAGAGUGCUUCGAGUUGGUCAUACGACGUGAUUGAGCGCUCAGGUAGUCGGUGGUACCAGUCGAUAGCACUGCUUCAGAGCGAGGCUGAAAAAAGCCUGCAGAAAAUGUCCUUAUACUUGGGCCACAAGGCCAUGCUGGUUUUGAACUGUAGGACAUGGUCCAUAGGAUCACCACUUCCAUCAUAGGUUGCGAACUUGGGGGGAAUGAAGUGUGGGGGUGGUUCCUGAUGAAGAAGGUCAUCAUGUAGGGGUUAUGUUCUGUAUUUUUCAAGGGUGGUAUUAGCAACCUUUUGGGCAAUAUUGGCCUUAACAGAUUCUUGGUGACUCUUAUCUAAUUUGGCCGAGAGUUGCAGGAGGCGGUUGUGAGUUUCCUGCAUUUCGGCCAUGGUAGGGGCGGCGGUGUUGCUGGAAGUGGGGAUAAUGGGGUUGUUGGUGUUGAUUUCAUCAGUUAUGUGACCAUUUGCCGGUGGAGUGGCAGAGCUUUUGAGCUGAGCAUUUUUCGAAAGCAACUUGUUGAUCUGUUCCUGUUGGUCGCUAAGUUGCUUUGGGAUGGUUUCAAACUGUUCUUGUGUGACUCCAGCCAUGGUCUCCUUCAGGUUUUAUUCGUUCACAGUCAGUCGGCGCCAAUGUAAAUGUAGUGGGUUUUUAAGAACGAAAAAAUGAGGAAGAUGAUCGGAAAGGAAGGAUUUGGGUUUUAGGAAGUGGCUGAGCUAUCAGAGCGAUGAUAGUUGCCUACGUAUCUGGAUCGAGGUCGAUCCAGAAUCAAGCCAAACGUAGUUCCUUUUUAGGUGGCUUUUGAUGGGUUGUCAUUAAUUAUCCAACGAUCGAAUCAUAAAAAUGAGCGAAUAUCUUGGGAUCUUAAUGGGAAAGAUUUGUAACUGAAGUAAGAUUUGAAUUUGAAGUAUUGAGCUCGGUAUUUGAAAUAAGGAAGCCCCAAGUCGGACGUGCUCGGAUGUUUUUAUGUUCGAGUGGGGUUUAUGAGCUUAGGAUUUAAAAUAGGAAUGUACAAGGUAUGACCUCAAUGUGGAGUCAGAUGAAAUAAGUGCAAAGUCGGUAUUUGGUAAUCCGAGUAAGAGGAAGCUCGGUAAUGCAAAGAAGAGCAUAUCAGAUAUAGCUUCUUUUGGGGUUGGAUAAAAUAUGUGCGGAGUCCGUGUUUGGGGUACCGAGUAAAGGAGAAAGCUCGGUAGUAGGUAUAUACAAUAUUUAUUUUUUAGUUCAAAUUCGUUGUUGUUGGUUUGGAUUUGUAGUGAGGUGAAAGAGAUCUAGGUCUUUAUGUUCAUUGUGGAGAAGUUGAUGAAGGCUUUGCUAGCCUUAAGUUGGAACUUUUCUUGGUCACAUUUGGAUUUGCAUCAUCUUUUGGGAGUCUAGAGAAUUCUUGUUGAUCUAUUAAGUUUGGUAGUAGGAUGGAAUAUAUUGAGAAAAGAAAUUUUGUUGGUGGUGGAUUUAUAGGUAUUUUUGUCAAGUUACAAAAAUUGCAAGACAAAGGGCAUGAGUAUAUUUGGUAGAAUUCAUAAGAUGUGAGGCCGGAAUUGAGUGAGAGGUGAUGGAUUGUAUGAUGAGAGUAUAUUGUUAAAACUCGGGGUAGUUUGGAGUAGAUCGAUGAUGGUAAUAAAUGUUGGUGUGUUUAGAUGAGACCUGGUGCUUUCAAGGCGGUCCACACGAAUGAAUUAUGUGGAUCUUGGUUUUUUAAGUUUUUAUUCAAUUGGAAUAGCUACCCGGGCCAAAUCUCUAAACUUCUUUGUUUGGUUGUUGAACAGACAAACCAAUCUUUCUAAGCCUAACUUAGGAGUAUCACCACAAAUCUAUCUCCAGAUUACUCUCUUCCAAGUUUAUGUAUAGAUUCUGAAGAUUUGGCUCUGGAUACAAUUAAUGUUUGACAAUUCCAUUUUUUGUUGUUUGUGUUUUUUUUUUUUUUUUAAUAAAAUCAUAUAUUUUAAUAAUAAGCUCAAAGAAUUACAUAAAAGUGGUGGACAAGCGUGCUACAAGUCCCUUUUUUGCAUUGUUUUUUCUUUAACGAAUUGUGAAGGGCCUAUGUGAUGGUGGAUUUACAAGGUGGGGUGAGAAAAUCUACCUCAAAAUCACAAAAUAGCAUCUUAAUGUAAGGUGGCUGUAUUAACCAUAUUUGUGAGGUUGGUCAAUACAUUAAUGAAUGAUGAUGACCUGUAUGAUAUGAACAAUAAUAAUAAAGUAGAGACAUGAACACCAUUGUAUACGUGGUUCGGCAAUUGUGCCUACAUCCACGGAGAGGGAGAAAGAAGUUUAUUAUAGUAGUGGUGGUGAUACAAAAUGGGAGCUCAAUUAUGAGGAGAGCUCGAGAGAGAUGAGACCUGAGAGGUGGGGUCUCAUCAUAAGAGAUUAGGGAGGUCGUUGAUAUUGAGACCUCCCCAUGAGAUAGUGGUGACUAUCAGACCAUGUCUAGAAUGAGUGAUUUGCCUUCAUAUUUAUAGGCUACAAUGUAACUCCAUUCCUAACAUUUAUUGAGGUAAUGAUGAGAGAAUAUCUUUGUAGUAAUUGGCUUUAACUUUGUAACUUGUGCCAUCAAGAGAGAGUCCAUUAGAUGAUGACAUGUGGCACCAUGAUGGAUGGUAGAGAUGGUGCCACAUGUAUGUUGUAUAUAGUACCCCUACAUAAGCCCCCUCUUUUUAGGUUGAACGGAGUUCGGGCUGAAAAGAAGUAAUCGAACCGAUCUAGCCCCCAAGAUGACUGAAAUAUGGGGUUCCUUAACGAAGUCGAUCCGCCCCAAAUUUUGAUAAGCUUGAUCAUUGAGAUUUGCAGGACGCGAUGAAGGUCCCUUGUGGUAAUGGCAACUCGAUCAUAACUUUGUGUGUAGCGAGCUAGUUAGUUCCAGGGAGACCUGGUAGCUCGUUCAGAAGGCAUGUAGACGAGAUGGACAGCUGCAAGCAGGUCGUACUGAAGUGGGUCUUCUUGCAUACAUGGGUGGUUGUCUUUUUGUGGUCGAGUUGCAUAGACCUGAUACUUGUUGAUAAUGUUAGCAUGUGAAAUAUUAUAAAAUUUAGUAAGAGACUUACACUGAACUGUAUGUCUUCCUUAUGAGUUUUGUGUGUACUAUCUUUGUCGCCUUGUGAUUGGACAUUCCGAUAGAUGUGGCACUUUGGAGUGCACAUGUAGCUCGUUUGAGAAAGAGCAUUGGUUGACCAAGUGUUUUGAGAGUUACUUGGAACCUUUUGGUGCCCGAUCUAGUGAAUGGUCGCAGCGUGGAGACCUGUUUGACAAUUCUCAGGCAUGUGGCCUUUGUGGGUCUGCAUUGCGUUGGGAGUGAAUGCGUUCGACCAGGCGUGUGGCAAGAGAAUUGUGUUUGAGGUCGUCCCGCAUACGAGUGACUCACUAGUCAAUGAGGGUGGCCGUAUUGUAUAUCAAGCAUUUCACUUGUAAAGAGUUCAGUGAAAGCAAUGUGGCACAUUUGUGCAAAAAUAGCUCAUGGGGACUGAGGUCGUGUUCAUGUGACCUGCACAUAGAGAGAGCUACAAAAAAUAUCAUUAAAAGCUAAUUGUGCUAAUAAGUUAAUUUGAUUAGAUAAAGUGAGAAUAGUCCCCUGUAUGGCAUAAAUAUUGUUGGGGUCGUUGAAAGACCUGUAAUUUGAAGAGGUCGUGAUUAAGGACCUGGGGAGGUCGCGAUGGGACCUGAUAGGUCGUUGGAUUAGAGACCUGAAUGAAGUGAGGUCGCGUCGAUACCUGAGAGGUCGUUGGCUUAGAGACCUGAAUGAAGUGAAGUCGCGUCGAGACCUGAGAGGUCGUUGGCUUAGAGACCUGAAUGAAGUGAGGUCGCGUCGAGGCCUGAGAGGUCGUUGGCUUAGAGACCUGAAUGAAGUGAGGUCGCGUCGAGACCUGAGAGGUCGUUGGCUUAGAGACCUGAAUAUGUGAGGAGGUCUCUGCAAGACCUGAACAUGUGGCCAUUAAGAAUGUAACUGAUAUAUAUAAUCAUGAUCGAGUUAUGAGAAUAUAUGUUACAUAGAUGCAUAUAAUAAUCAAUUUGUGUGAGACAAAAUAGAAUGAACAGUAAGAUCAUAGUGAAUUGAUACUUAUCUUGCUUUCGUCGAGUUUCACAUACAGUAAUGGUAAACGAAAUUAAACCCCCAAUUUGGAAAUUGUGAUUGCAAUUCUGCCAAAUAGAAUUUCUUGAACUUGAAAUCACCACUUUGAGAGCCUUACAACAAUGGUGUAAUGGUGGGGUUGGUGGGUGGAAUUCGCUUGAGAAAAUCCCAAGUCCCUGUAGUCGGCGCCAAAUGUAUUAACCAUUUUUGUGAGGUUGGUCAAUACAUUAAUGAAUGAUGAUGAUCUGUAUGAUAUGAACAAUAAUAAUAAAGUAGAGACAUGAACACCAUUGUAUACGUGGUUCGGCAAUUGUGCCUACAUCCACGGAGAGGGAGAAAGAAGUUUAUUAUAGUAGUGGUGGUGAUACAAAAUGGGAGCUCAAUUAUGAGGAGAGCUCGAGAGAGAUGAGACCUGAGAGGUGAGGUCUCAUCAUGAGAGAUUAGGGAGGUCGUUGAUAUUGAGACCUCCCCAUGAGAUAGUGGUGAGAGCAUUAGACUAUCAGACCAUGUCUAGAAUGAGUGAUUUGCCUUCAUAUUUAUAGGCUAUAAUGUAACUCCAUUCCUAACAUUUAUUGAGGUAAUGAUGAGAGAAUAUCUUUGUAGUAAUUGGCUUUAACUUUGUAACUUGUGCCAUCAAGAGAGAGUCCAUUAGAUGAUAACAUGUGGCACCAUGAUGGAUGGUAGAGAUGGUGCCACAUGUAUGUUGUAUAUAGUACCCCUACAGUGGCUUUCAAGUUUCAAGGUGGGAGAAUGAGAAUCAACCUUGGGGAAAGAAACGACAUGUCACAUGUCAUCAAUUUUUUUUUCUAAGAUUUAGAAGAGUUUUAAAAUUUGUGGACUCUUGGAUGGCGGCCGACAUGGCACAUACUCACAUGUCGUCCUUUUUUUUUUCUCUAAGUUUUAGAAGUGUUGUAAAACUUUUGGAUUCUCGACAAAAAAAAAAAAAUGAUGAUAUGUCACAUGUUGAUUGAAUUUUGUAGAAAAUCCACUUUAGGGUUCCUGGCAUGGGGUAUUUUUUUGGCAUGUCAAAGCUAAAUGGCAUGCCGUUUUUGCAUGUCUUUUUCCAUGUGUCAUAUAUACAAGACUAUUUUUGCGUUGUACCAUAUAUAUUGACUCUGAUUUAUAUAACAUUUGGUAUACCUUUCGUUUCCUUAUAUGUAUGAAGUUGUAGAAUAACAUUAGCAUAUAUUUUGAUUAUUUUUAUUAAGUUUUUACAAUAUAUGUCUAUAUAAAACAUAAAAUAUAGAGUAAAACUUAAUUUUUUUUACCGAAAUUGUAUAUUUAAUAUAUAUUUAUUUCAUUGCAAAUAAAUAAUAUAGAAAAUAAUGUAUAAUAUAUAACAAAAAUUGUAUAUUAAUAAUCGCUAAAAAGAUAUGCCAAUUAUAAAAAAGGCAUGCCUAUGGCCUGCCAUGUUUGGCAUGCCUUUUUCAGUGUGCCAGGUUCCUUAAUCCACUUUCUCUCCCAAAGAGUCUAUUUUGCCUUAAGAACUCUCCACCUUGUUCCGUUUUGAGUCAACAAAGGUGUAUUUAUCUUAUGAAGUGUAUAUGCGGUGCCUAUGUGGAGAUGACUAAAUCCACCCUACAUUGAGAAUAUUAUAAUAACGUAAGAAUAAUGUGAUUGGGUAAUGAUAUGAGGAUAAUAUGAAAAUCUUAUCUUUUUGUGUUGUAGUAAGAUAGAACAAUAUAGAAAAAUGCGGGAGAUCCAUUCAUUAAGAGCAUCUCUAAUGGGUCUCCUAAAACCUAUAAUUUAGGAAUUCCAAAAAAAACAGCACCCUAACGCGUCUUCUAUAUUUUUAGCAGCCGGCUAUCCACGUAGGAUGUGGUGGGCCGGUCUGCUAAAACUUCGUCCAAAAUCGAACCAAAGAUAGGAUUAUAGGAAUGGGGAAAAUAAAAUGUUCCACGCUGGUUCAACCAGCGUGGAACUUUUUUUUUAUUAUUUUUUUAAUUCCACGCUGGUCAAACCGGCGUGGAACCCUUUUUUUUAUUAUUUUUUAUUCCACGCAGGUCAAACCAGCGUGGAACAUUUUUAAUUCCACGCAUGUCUAACCAGCGUGGAACCCUAAAUUUCAACGGCCAUAUUUUCCGAACGGCUAAAUUUCCAAACGGCUAUAAAUCACAUCUAUAUAUACAUGUUCUUCGUUUCGAUAUCUACUUCAUUUCUACUUCUUCAUUCUUCAUCUUUUUUCAUUUGAGUUUGAUACUUUUUUUUAUAUAAUUAUGGGAGAUGGUUCUGUCAAACACUUUUCGGCGCGCAUUGAAGAUCCGAAAGAUGAAAAACGUGAAGAAAUGGAGAAAGAAAUCAUCGAAGAAGAAAAACCAUUAACACCCGAAGAACAAAAGCGUAUCGAUGAUGAAUUUAAUCGACUUAUUGACGAGUAUGAAGAUGAAAUUCAUGUGCUUCCCGAAAAUUGUAAUCAUGAUUCGUUUGAGUUUGAUUAUGUAUUGGGUAAAAUGUUUUGUUCAACUUGUGGUGAAGAGUAUGAAAAUUAAAAUGUAUCGAAGGUUAAAAUAUUUUAUUUAAUUAUGUAUUGAAUUUUAAAUUUAAUUUGAUUAAUGUAUUACUAUUUUGAUUAAUAUAUUUUUAUUACUAUUUUAAACGAAUAAUAAAUAAAUCAUUAAGAAAUAACCAUAAAUUUAUCUUCUAUGGUGGUUCAACAGAAACAACCCUGAUAUCAAGCAAUAGUAUACAGUUAACAAACACUCAAACCAACCCUAAUAUCAAGCAAUAUCAAGCACUCAAAACACUCAAGGUGCACUCCCCUGACUACUCUCCCCACUUCGGCCUCGUCCACUUCGGCCCCGUCCACCUCGUCCCCGUCCGUCGCGUCUAGUGUGCCCUUGCAACUCCUAUAAUCAAAUAUAAAUACAAUUAAAAUUUAAUAACUAAAAUUAAUAAAUUUUAGGGUUUAACUGUAAUAGUAAUUAAUAAUUACUUACCAAGGCCUCUAAUGUGCUUGUCAGCUCAGCAACCCUAGAAGCACUUGCUGCGAGUUCUUCUUCAGCCCUUGUUGUGGCAGUCCUUUGCUCUUGCAACCAACCAUAAUAUCUCGCAGAAGAAUCAAAUGCUGCAUGCCGCAUCCCUUGACCAAGCAUUACAGCAUCGGCUAAGCGUGAGCGGAGAGCAGCCUGUAUUCACAAGAGUUCCCUUAGUUAUAAAUAUACAAGAUUUAACUAACAAAUAUAAAAUUAUAAAUACAAUUGUAAAUAAAAAAAAUAAACAUACCUCGUCUAAGGUAUCAAAAUCAGGUACAUGCUGUGUAACUAAGUCACGGUCGAGAAAGGGAACCGGUACAGUCCAUGUCAUACCUUGUGAUCCCAUCAACCUAAGGCUAUGUUCACCAGCCUGUUCUGCAUACUGUAUUUGUCUCAAAGGGUAAUCUUGCUGAGUAGUAGUAGGGUCUGCUGGGAAAGGAAUCUGAUACUCUGGUCGUAUGCCUCGCCAUGACACAUAAUCUACGUUACCCUCACGAGAGACGGGGGAAAUAGCUAAUGUGCCCAGAGAAACAGUGUUCCAAUAUAACUGGUACUUCAUAGCCGUAACAAACUUACAAAAAGCUGAACUAAUUGGCCAGUUAAAGGAUGAUCUACGAGCACGGAUCUGCUCUAAAGGAAGACUCACUGGAGCCAUAUCAGGUGGUGGAGGAUGAGGAAUAGCUAUCAUACCAGUCGUCUGUCGUAAACAUCUAUCCCCUAAAAACCAAACACUAAUCUCUGGAGAAACUAAAACCACUCUCGUCUGAGAUAUGAUUCUAGAGCUGUCAAUAUGUGGGACACUGUUUGAUGGUAACCCAGCCCAAGGCAUCCACCUAAUACUAUCCCAAGUUUUCUGUUCGAUCGAGGCCCUUGCUUGGUUCAACCAGCGUGGAACAUAUAACAGAUCUUGUCCCUCCCAGCCCAGCCUGCCCCAAGCCCAGCCCACGCCUCCCUACCAGCCCAGCCUGCCCCAAGCCCAGCCCACGCCUCCCAGCCUACUGCCCCAAGCCCAGACUAUGCGAAGCCCAAGUCUUCUACGCUGGUUCAACCAGCGUGGAACAGAAAAACAUUUCCACGCUGGUUGGACCAGCGUGGAAGUUAAAAUUUAGCAAAAAAAAAUAGGUUUUGCGUUAGGGUUACCCCUGAUAUAGGUAUGGAAGACCUGCUAAAAAAAGUGAUGGAAAAGUAGGUAGCACCUACGUGGAGGCUAAAUCGUCCUAUGUGUCGGCUAAAUAUGGGAGACCCAUUAGAGAUGCUCUAAUCAUGCCAUAACUUGUUGUACGAAGUAUGCCCCAACCAACCAUCAGACAAUCUCUGACCCAUCUCUUAAAUUGCAUAACAUAAUUGAUUGAACUACACCAAAUUUGCUAUUUUGGCACAUAACAUUUGGCACGGUUCUGUGGUGAGCAUAAGUUUUUGCACGGUUUGGUUGUAUUAGGCGCAGUUGAAAACCGAGGCAAAGGUAAGCUCAAUUUAAAACCGAGCCAAACUGUUAACACUACUCACAUUUUUUGCACGUGGCAUACCUGGUAUAAAGAGCCUUAACUUUUGGUCAAAAUAGAUUGACCACACCCCACGAUGUCUUCUCUAUUCUCCCACUCUCUUCUCCUUCUCCGUUUGUGUUCUUCCCCAAAUCCAGAUCUCCGCUUAAGUUUGAUCUAGAAAUUACCUUGCUUGAAAAGCUUCAGUGAAGAAGAUGCAAAAGGAGUAGGAGAAAGUUUGAGGAGAAGAAAAUUGUCUAGCUCUAGCAAAACAAUAACUCUCUAUCUUCAUUUUUAAGUUUCUUUAUCAACCCAAAGUGUUCUAAAAGAAGAAGAUGUCGAUAAUCGAACAGCUGUGUUGUGUAGGAAAUAGAAGUUGAGUUGAAACUGAAACUACAUGCUUUGAAAACCUACUACUGGAUAUGUCCAUUAAUACAAACAGAAGUACAGAACCACUACUUAUUCUUUCUAUAUACAAGUAUACAACGAACAGUUGAACCUACUACGUAGUUUGACUUAAGAGUGCUAAGAUGGCCCACUGGCUCUUGACAAAAUCAAUACCCUGUGUAAAGUGAAAAAUACCCACCCAAUCUGAAAAUUUCACACAUUUCUAUCUGUUAAAAUGUAGUAUUGGACUAUUUUUUUUUUGGUAAACAGUAUUGGACUAUUGGUUUGAUAUGCAUGGAUGACUUCUAAUGAAUGUAGUUUUUUUUUUUGGUCACAGCACUUCACUUUGAAUGAGGGUGUGAAUUUGCGCAUUUAGAAUGAAUUUGAGGUGCAUUUAAAGUGAACUGUGGUUGAUUGUUGCCUGGUGCUAUAAUUUGUUAAUUAAGCUACCACACUUUGAUCUUCUUUCAUCUUAUAUCACUUACCUCUCCUUCUCUCUCUCUCUCCCUCUCUCCGCUUAAGUUUUGAGAAACCCUAAAUCAAAAUCAAGCCCAUAUUCUUUUAUAUGCUUCCAUUUCACUGUAGAUUUUGAAAUCAUUGUCAAAGAACUUCGAUUUAAGUAUGGAAUUCUGCAAAAGGUAAGAUUGUUUUGUACUUUUUUUUUUUUUUUUACAUACUUUUUUCUCUUUGUUGUUUCUCAUCAAAUUUGGUUAUUCUUUCGGAAAGGAAGAAGAAAGAUGAAGAAGAUAGAUGUUUUCAUUUGUGAUUUUGUUCAAAUUUCAGAAAUGCUUAAAACUACCGGCAGAUUGUUCGAAUGGUUAUUCAACUGCUUGUGUUCGAAGAGAAUGUAAGUAAUGCCUUAAUAUAUACUAAUAAACCAUUUCCAUUUAAAAUUUCAAAUUCCACUUGAGCUUUGCAAUUUUACAAUUUUUUGACCCCCUAUCGUCCAUGAUAUUCUUCCUUAUUUUUGUUUUAUCAGCACAAAAUUUUUAGCGAUACCAUUAUGCAAUAACUAGAUUAACAACUACAUGAUUUGAAGAUACCAACAAUUUCAAUCGACCAUUCACUUGUUAAGACUGGAAUUCAGGUUUUGGUUUACAGGUAAAAUUGUUUGUAUGAUUAUCUUAGUGAAAAUGAUAAAAGAAAUAGAGUUGUUUUGCAAAUUAUUUUACGUAUCACUUUCAAAAUGCAGUGGAGAUCAAGAUUAUUAUGCCAUUAACCAAAAGUAGGAUACUGGUUCGAUGUCUAUCAAAAGAGUAAGGGUUAAACAUUACUGCACCCUAUAGAGUGUGGUUUGUUGUUAGCAGGUAACUUACAAGUGCUCAUUUCUGUCUUUUUAAUUGAUUCGGUUAGCUAAGGGUUUAGUGUUCAUCCCCCUUUCUCUUUUUUUUUUUUUUGUAAAAUGGGUGUUUGAAACGAUAGCCUAAAGACUGAUUUUGUUGUAGAAGCAAACAUGUUAUACUUGGAAACACCAUUAGGAGUUGGCUUAUCCUUUUCUACUGAAGUUUCUUCUAUGGUUAUGGGAGAUAAGAUAAAGGCAAGUUCAUUUCUUUCAACAUUCUUUAUAAAUCUUUUAUCUUAUGUUUCUUUCACAACCUUUUUCUAAAGAUACAUAAACAUAUUUCAUUUUAGUGCAUUUUUCCACAUUUGUUUACUGUGAUUACUGAAACUUUCUUUGUCUUUGUGUUUUUAAGCUAGGGACAAUCUUUGUGUUCUUGCAACGGCUCCUCCAAUUUUCGCCAAUACAAACAUUCAGAACAUGGAAGUUUGUUCUUCACUUGUUCAAUAAUCUAACUCAACCGGAUGUGCAUAAGGUAAGCAUUUAAACUGAACCGCUGUUUUACUUUGUCUACUCGAAUGCAUGACUUUGUCUACUUAGAAAAUUAAGUUUUUCUUGUACUGUCAACAAUUCAUGAAGACUUUCAAUUCAACAUGCAAAUGGGAGUAGCAAACCAUUGUUCGUAAUUUGAACAGAUGCUACAUGGAUUCUAAAGUUAAUGUGUUAAUAUUUAGAAAAGUACAGUUUGCCUUUUAUUUGUUUUGCAAGUGAUUUUUAAUGUUACAUGAUCAUUUUUGUUUUCGUUGUCAUUCAUUCCCCACUAUUUAUGUGUAGUUUGUAUAUGUGCGAGUACUUUUUGAGAAAAAAACUAUAUACUUUAGUUUAUCUUCAAUGAUGAUGCCUGCUUGAGGAUAACCCGAUGCAGGGUUGUUGUUAUAACCUAAAAAAUGAUGGCAUUUGAACAAUAUUUACUUUUUUGACAAUAGGAGUGCUUUAUAUUUCCAUUUUUUGGGUUCAUGUUUUUUUUUUUGGUAAAGGGUUCGUGAUUAAAAAUUAGGAACUGUACUUCAAUUAGCAAUUCAUAUUUAUUUCCAUUGUUUAUAUUUUAAAAUUCGUUUGUAUUGGAAUUGAUUAUUUAAUCUCAUGGAUGCAGGUGUUAAAAAAAGUUAAUGAGACUAAAGAGUCUUUUAAAAGAGCCUUUCAUUUGAUGGAUUGAUACAUGGAGGCCCUGUAAAUUUUGCUAUGUACUUAAAAGAUUUUUUAACAGAUUGAUGAAUAUAUUCUAUAAACAUGUUACAGGUUUAGUGGCAAUACUGUAAAUUGAACAGUGAAAUAAAAUUAAUUAUAGUUUUUUUAAAAUUUUUUUUUUGAGAUUUGGCACGGUUUCAAAAAGUGCUAAACAUAUGCCACGUGUUGUUUUAUUAAGUCCUUGGCACGGUUAUGACUUUUUUUAGCACGGUUUUGGGUUUGUGCUAAAACAUUAGCCACAUGCGAUUUUGGCAUGUUUUAGAACCGUGCCAAACCAGUUUUGGCUUAGUUUAAAACCAUGUCAAAUUAGCCUUUCUGGUGUUGUAAAAAUAUGCCCCAACCAACAAUCAAACAAUCUCUGACCCAUCUCAUUUUCAUACUAUGUCAUGUUUGAAUAGAGGAAACAUACACAUGAUACCACGUCAAACACUAUAACCAUGAGCUUGAUUAACAAGGACGGAGCUACUUGGGCACUACAUGGGGCACUGAUUUUAGAAGAAAAAAAUUAGUACAUAUGUAUAUGUUGACCCACUUUAGCCCACCUUUAGUACCCCACUAACUUCUGUUUUGGGUUUUGUACAUCAAAAUAUAUAUUAGGCUUUUACACAUAAUUUACGAAAGAGCCCAAUUUUUCUUUAAGGUAAUCGAAAAAGUAUUUGGUCAAAUAUUUUUUUCUUUAAAAAAAUAGAAAGAGACAGAGUGAGAGAUAUCAAAUAUUUUUUCUUUCUCUUCAAAAUUAUAGAAACCUUAGCUUUAUAUUUCACCUCUUCUCAACCAAACUUAUAAAUUAAACAAUUACAACUACUUAUUAACACAUUCCAUCUCUAAAAAUUGUAUUUUGGAUGUUUUUUCCCCAAUUUCUCAAUUGUCAAUAUCAAGAUACAAGUUAUUUUUUUUCAUUCCAAGGCAGUAGUUUCUUAUUUGUUUUAGAGAACAAUUCUAAUUUUUUUUAUUUUUUUAGCUAUAAAUUUAUAAAGGUUAUUGUGUGGCUAAAUUUUUUGAGAAGUUGUGUAUAAGUUUAUUCGUAAAAUAUUAUAUUGUUGCAUUUUUAGUUAAAACGAUCGUACUUUUUAUUAAUUUGUGUAAACUAUAACAUGUAGAAAAGAAAAAAUAAAAAUUUUGGUUAAUAAUAAUAAGAAAAAAAUUCCCAUUUCUAGAAGUGCCCUACUAAAAAAUAAUUUCUGGCUCCUUCCCUGUUGAUUAACACAUUUGUAAGGGAUAUAUAUAUGUUAGGACUUUCGUAUCAUUUAUAAACAUUACAAUAAGAACUGUUAAUCCUACAUUAAAUAUAGGGCUAAUUUGACUUACCCCCUCAAAAAAGUUUGCAUUCUUUGCAAUACCCUUAGAUUUAACUUUUCUUUGAGAUGCCCCCCACUUUUGCGAUUCAAGUCAGUCAACUGAGCCAUUGACCUUUAAAAGUUUUAUAUUAACAAAAAUACCCAUAUCUUUAUUUAACUUCUAUCUAGUCAUCUCACCCAAUCACCACAUAUGCCACAUCAUUUGAAUCCAAGAUUUAAUCCUCACCCUUCACCCAAGAUCUAACCCUUACAUUCAAUCCAACGGUUAAAAUUAAGUAGCCAAAGCAACAUCUUUUUCUCUAAGAGCAUCUCUAAUGGGUCUCCCAUAUUUAGCCUACACAUGGGACGAUUUAGCCUCCACGUAGGUGCCACCUCCUUUCCCAUCACUUUUUUUAGCAGGUCUUCCAUACCUAUAUCAGGGGUAUCCGUAACGUGUUUCCUAUUUUUUUGCCAAAUUUUUAUCUUCCACGCUGGUGCAACCAGCGUGGAAGACUUGGGCUUCGCGUGGUUGGGCUUGGGGCUGGGCUUGGGGGCAGUAGCUGGGCUGGGCUUGGGGCAGUGGGCUUUGGCUACAGGAUCUGUAAGAUGUUCCACGCUGGUUAAACCAGCGUGGAACUUUAAUGAAGUUUUUUUUUUUUUUAACGAAACAACAACCAGUUUACACCGUCUUCUCCAUCUUUCCGCCGCCAUUCUUCUUCCUCUUCCGCCAUUUUCAACUUCUUUCAUCUUGAUUUUGCUACUUCUACUUCUUCCUACUAAAAAAUUACACAACCAUUUAGCCAUCUUUUGUUAUUUUCUACUUCUUCCCCUCCAUUUCAUUCAUUCAUUCUCUCCAAUGACUUCUUACGACCGACAUCUUGAAAUUUUGAACCAACAACACCAAUUGCUUAUGGACUCAUCUGAUGAUGAAGAUCUUAGCACAAGGCAUAUCAAUCGUCUGCUUUCAGCUAUUUCGGCUUCUUUGGAAGAAGAAGAAAAUGUAGAAAACAUACCAAGAUGGGGAGGUUCUAAAUUUGGUCGAGCAGCUAACAGGCGUGACCAUGUUCAAUCACACAACAUGCUUAUCAACCAUUAUUUUGCAGCCCAACCUGUUUUUGGUGCAAAGCUUUUUCGACGUCGUUAUCGUAUGAGGCAGAAUAUUUUUUUGAAGCUGUAUAACGCAGUUGUUGAAAAUAAUGACUAUUUUCACCAGAAAUACGAUGCUCUAGGUGUUCCUGGACCUUCUGGCCUAAUUAAAGCGACAUGUGCACUUCGCCUUCUCUGUUAUGGGUGUCCAGCUGAUUCUCUUGAUGAGUCAAUCAAAAUAGGUGAGCAAACUGCACUCAAUUCUCUGAAGCAUUUUUCUCAAACUGUUGUCGACAUUUUUGAGAACGAGUAUUUGAGGACACCCACUCCAGCUGAUGUCGAACGUCUGCUUGCUAAAGGAGCUCAACGAGGGUUUCCAGGUAUGUUGGGAUCCAUUGAUUGUAUGCAUUGGAUUUGGAAGAACUGUCCUACAGCAGAACAUGGGCAACAUAUGGGACACCAUAAGAAAGCUACUGUUAUUUUGGAAGCUGUUGCAGAUCAUGAGCUUUGGAUAUGGCACGCCUUUUUUGGAACGGCAGGUAGUUGCAACGAUCUUAAUGUCUUAGAAAACUCUCAUGUUUUUGAUGAUAUGGUAAAUGGCAGAUCGCCUCCUUGCAACUACCAGGUGAAUGGGAAUGAUUAUAAUAUGGGAUACUAUCUUUCUGAUGGUAUCUACCCACAGUGGGCUACUCUUAUUCAAACAGAGAGAUUUCCAGGGACGCGAAAGAAGAAAGUGUUUGCCAAAGCCCAAGAAGCUGUCAGAAAAGAUGUUGAGCGUGCAUUUGGUGUUUUGCAGGCUAGAUUUGCCAUGGUUGCAAGACCAGUACGUACCUGGAACAAGGCACAGCUUGGUAUAUUUUUGAAGGCAUGUUUGAUAAUGCAUAAGAAGUCCCCUCGUGAUGAGCCUCUAUUACCUGUAAUAGUGGAGUUACAAUCAAACGAUGUAUAUGAGAUUAGAGACAUGCUUCAUCGCAUUUGUGCUGUCAGAAGUGGUCCUGCUCAUGACUUAUUGAAGCAUGAUUUGAUCGAGCAUAUAUGGCAACGUCAUGGAGGCAAUGAAGAUUUGGACUGAAUUGCUGUAGUAGUUUAUGUUUGAGUUUGUGUUUGAUUUUGAAUUUGUGUUUGAGUUUUUGUUUGAGUCCAUGUUAGUUUGUGUUUGAGUUUGUGUUUGAGUCCAUGUUAGUUUCUUGUGUUGUGUUUGAAAAGAUGAGCUUAAUGUUAUAUUAAGAAAUUUCAUGUUUUAUAAUUGCUAAUAGUACAAAACAUAUAAAAACUAAGGCCCAUAAUAGUACAAAACAUAUAAAACUAAGGCCUAUAACCUCCACUAGGCCCAUAAGGCCCAUUAGGCCCAUAACCUCCACUAGGCCCAUAAGGCCAUAGCCUCCACUAGGCCCAAAACCUCCACUAGGCCCAAAAUCAUCUGGCGCAUAAGGCCUAUAACCAAAAGGUACAAAACCAGUAGGCCUACUUGGAAUACCUUGCUGAAAAGAAGUAGGAGCAAAUGGAGUACCCGUAAAAUCAUUCUGUGAGGAAGGCCCAUUUGGAUCGUCUGGGGAUGCAGUCCACGUAGGAGAGAAGUCAUUGAUCUGUUUGUGACGCCUAUCAAAGAUUGCUUUCUGCAUCUCUUCAAAGUAUUGUUUGCGGAUAGGGUUAGCAAUUUUUUCUGUGUCUAUCAUCAUGAUAUUGGAUUCUCUUUCUACUCUUCUUUCUUCAUUUAGUCGUGCCUUUUCUUCUUCCAUCUACUGGUACAUCUUCAUCUUCAACUCUCAAUUGGCUUGUUUUAAAGCCAACUCUUUGGACGUUGUUUCAUUGACCUUUGUCAGUUGAGCUGUGUACUUAGCCCUAGAAGAACUAACAUCUCCCCCUGAAGUAGAUGAUUGUCGUGCUAGCUUUCUUUUUUCUUUUGCAGCUUUUCUUCCAGUUGGUCGCGCUGGUGGUGGUACUGGACCAUCCCCAAUGUUGAGAAAAACAUUUGGUGUAACCCCAACAUUAGUUGUACCUUCUGGAAAUUCAUUUGGGGAGUCGUCAUCACUGAGAUGGAUGUUCUGUUGGCUACGAGCAUAUGAAGCUGGAGUAUCAUCGCACAGAUUGAUGUUCUGCAUGUUCCGAAUAUUUGAAGUUGGCGUAUCGUUUGAAGCACCAGAAAACUCCGAGUCUGUGUUUGAUUUCUGCUUCUUAGAUGCAUUCACUCUUUGAAUAGUCGUAGGGGUUCUUGCUGAAGCAUAAUCCAUCCACUUUGCAGAAGUGUGCAAAUAUUCAUAGCAAUGUCCAAAUUUAAAUGGUUCCCCUUCCACAGUUUGGUAGACCGAACGAGCAGUUGUCCACUAAAAAAAUAUAAUUUAAAAAAACUAAUUAAGAAAUAAACUAUUUAUGAAUUUAAAAUAUUAGAAUUAAAAACAUAGAACCCUAAAAAAUUAAAGCCAAAAAUAUACCUUGUCUUCCUGACUGGUUCCAGAUCUAUUGAUGCGGACUUCUCGAUUAAUACGACAUAAAAAUUUUGUACAAUCAGGACUUAUUUUCGCCCAUUUCGACAUAAUUGAGUCGAGCGACCUUUUUUUUUGGAUUUCCAUUGGUGAGUAGAACAAAUUCUUCCAAAAUUUUAUCCCAAAAUGCCUAUUUGGGUUGACCAGCGCCGACGACAGCAUCUUCAAAAUUUUUUACCCAAGCUUUACAUAACGCAAUAUCUUCUGCUUUAGUAAAGUUAGACGUUCGUGGCGCCAUGCUUGAGAAAAGAGUUCUGUUGUUGUAGUUGAGUUUUGAUGAAGUUUGAAGAAAAGAAUUCCGAUGAAAAAAAAGAGUUCUGAUGAAGAAAAGAGUAUCGAUGCAGAGUUUAUAUAGACGUCGAAAUUAUAUCCGUUCGAGAUUAUAGCCGUUGAUAGAUUAUAGCCGUUGAUGGUAGCCGUUGUGAUAUAUCCGUUCGUUCCACGCUGGUUAAACUGGCGUGUAACAAAUAAAUUUGUUUUGAAAAGGUUCCACGCUGGUUUGACCUGCGUGGAAUAAAAAAAAAAAAAAUGUUCCACGCUGGUUGAACCAGCGUGGAAUUAAAAAAAUAAUAAAAAAAAAGUUCCACGCUGGUUGAACCAGCGUGAAACAUUUUAUUUUACCCAUUCCUAUAAUCCUAUCUUUGGUUCGAUUUUGGACGAAGUUUUAGCAGACCGGCCCACCACAUCCUACGUGGAUAGCCGGCUGCUAAAAUUAUAGACGACGCGUUAGGGUGCUGUUUUUUCGGAAUUCCUAUAAUUUAGGUUUUAGGAGACCCAUUAGAGAUGCUCUAAGUUUCACCACUGCCUCUACCUAACUAAAUGACCAGAUCCACCACCACUUCUAUCACCAUAACCACCACCACUUUCGCCACCACUACCACCUCCACCACAAUUAAAUCUAAAGACAAAUUCAAAAAAUGAUACCACCACAUAUUAUCCCAUCAACAACUUUAUUUCUCAAGAUUUCUUCUUUUGGUGUCACCAAAAUUAAGAAUUUCUGCCCCAAAUUCCCAAGAAAAAACAAAAUCAAGAAAUCUCCAUUAAUCAAAACCAAACAACAAAUUCACCAAUUACCCAAAAAUAACAAAGUUAGGAAAGAAGAAGAAGAAAGAUGUAUAGUGAUAAUUGAAUGAACUUGGUUUCGAAAUGGUGAGUUAAGUAGUGGUGGUGAAUCAGUAGUGGUUGUGGGUGAAGAGAGAAAUUUUAUGAUUUCGUAAAAAAACCCGUCAAAUUCCAUUGUUGAGAUUGGUUGGAAUAGGGAAGAGGAAAGAUUAGGGGUGGCAAAUGGGUCGUGUCUAUGUCGGGUCAAUAUCGGGUUACGUGUCAAAACAGGUCAACCCGGUUAUAACCCGGUUAUGAAACAGAUCAACUCGUGUCGGGUCGUGUUCGUGUCGGGUCAGUUCCGGGUCAUAUGGCCUGACACGUUUAGACACGCAAUUUUUUUAUUUUUUUAUUUUUUUUAACUUGAUAUAUUUUAAUUUAAAUAUAGAUUUGUGCUUUAUUAAUAAAUUAUCUAUUCCAAAAAUCCAUUUAUUGGCAGAUCUAACCAGUUUGUGCUACACAUUCAUCUGUCCACAGAAUGGAACUUAGAUAAAUGGCUGCUCUGCUAACUAACGAUAUUGCACAUUAAUACAGCUGUAUAUACAAGUCUGUAGACAAAAUUCUUAUAGUUUAGUCUUAUAUACUGCUAUAUGCUAACAAGUAUUUAGUCCACAUAUUCACGAAUUUGGAUGAGUGCUUCAUUAACAGGUAGAACCAAAUAGGAGAUGAAAACAACAUGACAAAAUUUACCAACCAGAUUAGUGGCAUAGAGAUGACAAUGGCAUAAUCAAAGACGACAAUUAUCUACCUCCUAUUAAAGAAGGGAUCUCAAUAAAAGUUAUAACCAUAGAUACAUCAAAUACUUGAGAUCAUUCCAAGUUUGAUAACAUAAGUUUUAUAAGAUACACAUUGUCCAGCAGAGUGUAAUACAAGUUUGAUCUUGUGACCGAAAGAUGCUUUAAAGAUUGAU